ACGGAGGAUGCGAGAGUUAUACGGAUUUAUUGGGUUUAAAGGGUGCGUAGGCGGAUAGAUAAGUCAGUGGUGAAAACCUGCAGCUUAACUGUAGACUUGCCGUUGAUACUGUCAGUCUUGAGUAUGGUCAAGGUAGGCGGAAUGUGUAAUGUAGCGGCGUAAUGCUUAGAUAUUACACAGAACACCGAUUGCGAAGGCAGCUUGCUAUGACAUUACUGACGCUGAUGCACGAAAGCGUGUGGAUCGAACAG
This 251-nucleotide ribosomal RNA is filed under the name uncultured prokaryote. RNAcentral describes it as "partial 16S rRNA". It matches the Rfam family "Bacterial small subunit ribosomal RNA", at positions 525 to 775 of the family's 1533-position model. The record is from RNAcentral.